AGUGAACGCUGGCGGUAGGCCUAACACAUGCCAGUCGAGCGGCAGCACAGUAAGAGCUUGCUCUUACGGGUGGCGAGUGGCGGAUGGGUGAGGCAUACAUCGGAAUCUUCUUUUUCGUGGGGGUUCACGUAGGGGAACUUCCGCUAGUCCCGCUUACGGCCUACGGGUGAAAGCCGGGGAUCUUCGGACCUUGCGCGUUUGACUGAGCCGAUGUCGGAUUAGCUAGUUGGCGGGGUAAAGGCCCACCAAGGCGACGAUCCGUAGCUGGUCUGAGAGGAUGAUCAGCCACACUGGAACUGAGACACGGUCCAGACUCCUACGGGAGGCAGCAGUGGGGAAUAUUGGACAAUGGUCGCAAGCCUGAUCCAGCCAUACCGCGUGGGUGAAGAAGGCCUUCGGGUUGUAAAGCCCUUUUGUUGGGAAAGAAAAGCAGCAGGUUAAUACCCCGCUGUUCUGACGGUACCCAAAGAAUAAGCACCGGCUAACUUCGUG
RNAcentral lists this ribosomal RNA (492 nucleotides) under uncultured bacterium. RNAcentral's name for it is "partial 16S ribosomal RNA". It matches the Rfam family "Bacterial small subunit ribosomal RNA", at positions 29 to 507 of the family's 1533-position model. The record is from RNAcentral.